GAUGAACGCUGGCGGCGUGCCUAAUACAUGCAAGUCGAACGCUGAAGGAGGAGCUUGCUCUUCUGGAUGAGUUGCGAACGGGUGAGUAACGCGUAGGUAACCUGCCUGGUAGCGGGGGAUAACUAUUGGAAACGAUAGCUAAUACCGCAUGACAACAGUUAUUGCAUGAUAACUGUUUAAAAGGGGCAACUGCUCCACUACCAGAUGGACCUGCGUUGUAUUAGCUAGUUGGUGAGGUAACGGCUCACCAAGGCGACGAUACAUAGCCGACCGGAGAGGGGGAGCGGCCGCCCUGGGACUGAGACACGGCCCAGACGCCUACGGAAGGCAGCAGUAGGGAAUCUUCAGCAAUGGACGGAAGUCUGACCGAGCAACGCCGCGUGAGGGAAGAAGGAUUUCGGAUCGUAGAUCUCUGUUGUAAGAGAGGAACGAGUGUGAGAGUGGAAAGUUCACACUGUGACGGUAUCUUACCAGAAAGGGACGGCUAACUACGUG
This 495-nucleotide ribosomal RNA is filed under the name uncultured bacterium. Its description in RNAcentral is "partial 16S ribosomal RNA". It matches the Rfam family "Bacterial small subunit ribosomal RNA", at positions 28 to 507 of the family's 1533-position model. The record is from RNAcentral.